RNAcentral lists this small RNA (154 nucleotides) under Deinococcus gobiensis I-0. RNAcentral's name for it is "hypothetical noncoding RNA". Lineage: Bacteria; Thermotogati; Deinococcota; Deinococci; Deinococcales; Deinococcaceae. The record is from RNAcentral.
GGAAGAUUGCCUGACAAGCACUGCCUGCAUUUCGGCCGGCGAUGGGAAAGCAGAGGUCACAAGCCCACUCUUCCUUUUGUCCCCCCGCUGGCUCUAACGAACUACCCUGGGGUAUACGCGGCUGAAAUUCGAACUGACGGCCACAGCAUGAGCU